AUGGAGGAUGACUCGCCAGCGACGAAGACGGUGAAGGGCGCCGUGACGGGUCUGGCCGCGGGCACCAUCUGGGGCACCAUCGUCGCCACCUGGUACGACGUGCCCCGGGUGGAGCGCCACGUCGCGCUCCCGGGCCUCGUCCGGACGCUCAAGAUGUGCGGCAGCUACGGGGUCACUUUCGCCGCCGUCGGAGGGCUCUACAUCGGCGUGGAGCAGAUUGUGCAGAGCCAGCGCAAGAAGCGCGACUUCGUCAACGGGGCCAUCGGCGCCUUCGUCUCCGGCGCCACCGUCUAUGGCUACAGAGGAAAGAGCAUUAAGUCUGCCCUCAUCGGUGGUUCUAGCCUGGCAUUCACAUCUGCCAUUCUGGACGUUGGCGGUAACACUACCAGAGUGGACAAUGGCAAAGCGUACCAUGCAUACACAACGGAAAAGAAGCCCGAGCCUGUGCAUUGA
RNAcentral lists this ribosomal RNA (453 nucleotides) under Triticum aestivum (bread wheat). RNAcentral's name for it is "partial small subunit ribosomal RNA". The record is from RNAcentral. Lineage: Eukaryota; Viridiplantae; Streptophyta; Magnoliopsida; Poales; Poaceae.